UCCCUGGUGGCUCAGACGGUAAAGCAUCUGCUUGCCGUGCGGGAGACCCGGGUUCAAUCCCUGGGUUGGGAA
Ovis aries (sheep) is the source of this 72-nucleotide transfer RNA. It matches the Rfam family "tRNA". From Rfam's summary of the family: Transfer RNA (tRNA) molecules are approximately 80 nucleotides in length. Their secondary structure includes four short double-helical elements and three loops (D, anti-codon, and T loops). Lineage: Eukaryota; Metazoa; Chordata; Mammalia; Artiodactyla; Bovidae. The record is from Rfam.